ACCCGAGCGCCGCGGCUCCGGCCCGGCGGCCGCUCCCUGCGCCCUGGGCCGCGGGUCCUCCGCCGCGCCUUCCGGGCGGGGGCCUCGGGCAGGGGCCUCCGUCUCCCGCUAGAGGGACCCGAGCUGUCUCCCGGCCGACUCGUCCCCGCGGACGGCGGGCGCCUCGGGAGCCGAGACGGCGAGCUCGUCACUUAGAUCUGGCACGUAGUGGGGCCUAGCAAGAGGCUGCCAGGUGGAAGGAAGCAGAGGUGGCGCGGGCCCGGCGCUCGGUGGGUGCGCCCUCAGUGUUUGGUCAUUGCCGGCCUUGUGGACUUGCUCGCAGGCUUGGAGGCGGGGGGCACUCUGACGUGUCGCCUCUGGGAGAACCGAGAGACCCGCUGUGAGCAGAGUUGACCACCGAGAGCCGGGGCCUCCCGGGGCGUAGCCUGGGAGAGCUCUCGAGUGACGGGGGAGCUCUGACCGUGCAAGUCUAGAACCAAUGAGAAGAUGAAACUAAACUCUAUCACCAAUUGAGCUGAACUCAAGAAUGUGGCCUGGCUGACAACUGGUCUCCUGUGGAAACUCCCCCACUGGCUGAACCUGGGAGGAAGCCCAGCAGAACUGAGCCCAGAUGACAGUGUCCUUCAAGGCCAGCUGCUGGAAAAGGACGGACGGUAGAUCUGGAAAGACAAAGGCAGAAUAUCUAGCAGGUUUUUGCUGUUGCAAAAGUGCUGCUAAGAAAAUUCGUGUAAAGCCCACUGGUGCACAAGUGCAGGAAUUUCUCCCGUGUAUUUAUACAGGAGCAGAGAUGCUGGAUCAAAGGCUACGUCGAUUUUCAGCUCUACAAGAUAAUUCCAGACUGUUUACCAAAGUGCUUUUUACCAAUUCACAGUUUCAGCAACAUCAUAUAUGGGGCCCUACUGCUCCACAUCCUCUUUGGCACUUGGGAUUGUCAGAUUUCUUAAUUUUCACCACUUAUAACAUGGGUAUCAAAUGAAAUCUCAUUGUGGUCUCAAUUUGUAUUUCCUGAUGGUUCAUGAGAUUGAACAGGGCUUCCUGUAUUUAUUGACCAUAAAUGUUUCAUCUUCUGGGAAAUUCUUAGCUUUUUUCCAUUUUUCCAUUGGUUGAUUCUCCUUUCCUCAUUAAUUUCACUAAUCUUUUAUUUAAAUUUUUAUUAAUGUAUUUAAGUCAUCUCUACCUCCAACAUAGGACUCGAACUCACAACCCCAAGAUCAAGAGUCGCAUGCUUCAUCAACCCAACCAGCCAGAUGCCCCUAAUUUUACUAAUUCUGGGACAAUUAUGGUUUUUUUCCCCCCUU
This is a long non-coding RNA of Lutra lutra (Eurasian river otter), 1298 nucleotides long. RefSeq lists it as uncharacterized. The record is from RefSeq and is a predicted model, not a curated record. NCBI's taxonomy places the organism in Eukaryota, Metazoa, Chordata, Mammalia, Carnivora, Mustelidae. The transcript has 4 exons.